AUUGAACGCUGGCGGCAGGCCUAACACAUGCAAGUCGAGCGGUAGAGAGGUGCUUGCAUCUCUUGAGAGCGGCGGACGGGUGAGUAAUGCCUAGGAAUCUGCCUAGUGGUGGGGGAUAACGUUCGGAAACGGACGCUAAUACCGCAUACGUCCUACGGGNGAAAGCGGGGGGAUCUUCGGACCUCGCGCCAUUAGAUGAGCCUAGGUCGGAUUAGCUAGUUGGUGAGGUAAUGGCUCACCAAGGCGACGAUCCGUAACUGGUCUGAGAGGAUGAUCAGUCACACUGGAACUGAGACACGGUCCAGACUCCUACGGGAGGCAGCAGUGGGGAAUAUUGGACAAUGGGCGCAAGCCUGAUCCAGCCAUGCCGCGUGCAGGAUGACGGUCCUAUGGAUUGUAAACUGCUUUUAUACAGGAAGAAACACUACUUCGUGAAGUAGCUUGACGGUACUGUAAGAAUAAGGAUCGGCUAACUCCGUG
This 480-nucleotide ribosomal RNA is filed under the name uncultured bacterium. RNAcentral's name for it is "bacterial SSU rRNA". It matches the Rfam family "Bacterial small subunit ribosomal RNA", at positions 30 to 507 of the family's 1533-position model. The record is from RNAcentral.